GAUGAACGCUGGCGGCGUGCCUAAUACAUGCAAGUCGAACGAGGUGCUUUUGUAGCAAUACGAGAGUAUCCUAGUGGCGAACGGGUGAGUAACGCGUUGGUGACCUACCCCAAAGUGUGGGAUAACAGUCCGAAAGGAUUGCUAAUACCGCAUGUGGUCUUCGGAUUUAGAAACUGAUGACUAAAGGAGCAAUUCGCUUUGGGAGGGACCUGCGUCCCAUCAGCUAGUUGGUGAGGUAAUGGCUCACCAAGGCUACGACGGGUAGGGGACCUGAGAGGGUGACCCCCCACCAAUGGAACUGAAACAACGGUCCAUACACCUACGGGUGGGCAGCAGUAGGGAAUAAUUGCACAAUGGGCGAAAGACCUGAUGCAGCAACGCCGCGUGUGCGAUGAAGG
This 398-nucleotide ribosomal RNA is filed under the name uncultured bacterium. RNAcentral describes it as "bacterial SSU rRNA". It matches the Rfam family "Bacterial small subunit ribosomal RNA", at positions 28 to 414 of the family's 1533-position model. The record is from RNAcentral.